This 492-nucleotide ribosomal RNA is filed under the name uncultured bacterium. RNAcentral's name for it is "partial 16S ribosomal RNA". It matches the Rfam family "Bacterial small subunit ribosomal RNA", at positions 29 to 507 of the family's 1533-position model. The record is from RNAcentral.
AGUGAACGCUGGCGGUAGGCCUAACACAUGCAAGUCGAACGGCAGCACAGUAAGAGCUUGCUCUUACGGGUGGCGAGUGGCGGACGGGUGAGGAAUACAUCGGAAUCUACUUUUUCGUGGGGGAUAACGUAGGGAAACUUACGCUAAUACCGCAUACGACCUACGGGUGAAAGCAGGGGAUCUUCGGACCUUGCGCGAUUGAAUGAGCCGGUGUCGGAUUAGCUAGUUGGCGGGGUAACGGCCCACCAAGGCAACGAUCCGUAGCUGGUCUGAGAGGAUGAUCGGCCACACUGGAACUGAGACACGGUCCAGACUCCUACGGGAGGCAGCAGUGGGGAAUAUUGGACAAAGGGCGCAAGCCUGAUCCAGCCAUACCGCGUGGGUGAAGAAGGCCUUCGGGUUGUAAAGCCCUUUUGUUGGGAAAGAAAAGCAGCAGGUUAAUACCCCGCUGUUCUGACGGUACCCAAAGAAUAAGCACCGGCUAACUUCGUG